Molecule: ribosomal RNA, 588 nt
Filed under: Geotrichum sp. BUF7
Lineage: Eukaryota; Fungi; Ascomycota; Dipodascomycetes; Dipodascales; Dipodascaceae
Also listed under: 1 other name
Description: eukaryotic LSU rRNA
Rfam family: Eukaryotic large subunit ribosomal RNA
Source: RNAcentral
GCAUAUCAAUAAGCGGAGGAAAAGAAACCAACAGGGAUUGCCUUAGUAACGGCGAGUGAAGCGGCAAAAGCUCAAAUUUGAAAUCGGCCMCCAGGUCGAGUUGUAAUUUGUAGAUUGUAUCUUGAGAGCGGAUUAAAGUCUGUUGGAACACAGCGCCUUAGAGGGUGACAGCCCCGUAAAAUCUAUUCUCAUUGUAAGAUACUUUCGAAGAGUCGAGUUGUUUGGGAAUGCAGCUCUAAGUGGGAGGUAAAUUCCUUCUAAAGCUAAAUAUUGACGAGAGACCGAUAGCGAACAAGUACUGUGAAGGAAAGAUGAAAAGCACUUUGAAAAGAGAGUGAAAAAGUACGUGAAAUUGUUAAAAGGGAAGGGUAUUGAAUCAGACUUGGUGCUGUUGUUCAACUGUGUUUCGGCAUAGUGUACUCAGCAGUACUAGGCCAAGGUGGGGUGUUUGGGAGUGAAAAAGAAGUWGGAAGGUAACUCUUCGGAGUGUUAUAGCCUACUUUCAUAGCUCCUCAGGCGCCUCAGGACUGCGCUUCGGCAAGGACCUUGGCAUAAUGAUUCUAUACCGCCCGUCUUGAAACACGGACC